Molecule: ribosomal RNA, 912 nt
Filed under: uncultured beta proteobacterium
Lineage: Bacteria; Pseudomonadati; Pseudomonadota; Betaproteobacteria
Description: bacterial SSU rRNA
Rfam family: Bacterial small subunit ribosomal RNA
Source: RNAcentral
AGAGUUUGAUCCUGGCUCAGAUUGAACGCUGGCGGCAUGCCUUACACAUGCAAGUCGAACGGCAGCGGACCUUCGGGUGCCGGCGAGUGGCGAACGGGUGAGUAAUGUAUCGGAACGUACCUUUCAGUGGGGGAUAACGUAGCGAAAGUUACGCUAAUACCGCAUAUUCUCUGAGGAGGAAAGCAGGGGACCUUCGGGCCUUGCGCUGAUGGAGCGGCCGAUAUCAGAUUAGCUAGUUGGUGAGGUAAAGGCUCACCAAGGCUACGAUCUGUAGCGGGUCUGAGAGGAUGAUCCGCCACACUGGGACUGAGACACGGCCCAGACUCCUACGGGAGGCAGCAGUGGGGAAUUUUGGACAAUGGGCGAAAGCCUGAUCCAGCCAUGCCGCGUGAGUGAAGAAGGCCUUCGGGUUGUAAAGCUCUUUCGGACGGGAAGAAAUCAUGAGGGCUAAUAUCCCUUGUGGAUGACGGUACCGUAAUAAGAAGCACCGGCUAACUACGUGCCAGCAGCCGCGGUAAUACGUAGGGUGCGAGCGUUAAUCGGAAUUACUGGGCGUAAAGCGUGCGCAGGCGGUUUUGUAAGACAGGCGUGAAAUCCCCGGGCUCAACCUGGGAACUGCGCUUGUGACUGCAUCACUUGAGUACGGCAGAGGGGGGUGGAAUUCCACGUGUAGCAGUGAAAUGCGUAGAGAUGUGGAGGAACACCGAUGGCGAAGGCAGCCCCCUGGGUCGAUACUGACGCUCAUGCACGAAAGCGUGGGUAGCAAACAGGAUUAGAUACCCUGGUAGUCCACGCCCUAAACGAUGUCAACUAGGUGUUGGGUGGGUAAAACCAUUUAGUACCGUAGCUAACGCGUGAAGUUGACCGCCUGGGGAGUACGGCCGCAAGGUUAAAACUCAAAGGAAUUGACGG